GUUGCCGACACAGUCAGAUAUUUCACCCAGAAAAUCUGAGGGCCCUACAAAGCUAACCAGGUGAAGAACUCCUGCAGCUAUUUGCAAUGGAAAAGAGCAUGGAACAUGCAUGACAGUAAGUUGCUGCUAAUGCCCAUUUGACAGAAGGAAUUUUUCAGGAAGAAGCAUGAAGUGACAUGGAAGUGGGACAGAUGAAGAGGUCCCAGGAAUGCUCUCUUCCUACUGCACUGGAGAAGCCCAUUGUGCCCAUGGCCAGGCUCUGUAUUAAUAUUUUCCUGAGCAUUAUUAUAGAGCUUGCAUGAUAUUAC
Lepidothrix coronata (blue-crowned manakin) is the source of this 308-nucleotide long non-coding RNA. RefSeq lists it as uncharacterized. The transcript is spliced from 3 exons. Lineage: Eukaryota; Metazoa; Chordata; Aves; Passeriformes; Pipridae. The record is from RefSeq and is a predicted model, not a curated record.